Transfer RNA from Fusarium oxysporum f. sp. cubense, 112 nucleotides. It matches the Rfam family "tRNA". From Rfam's summary of the family: Transfer RNA (tRNA) molecules are approximately 80 nucleotides in length. Their secondary structure includes four short double-helical elements and three loops (D, anti-codon, and T loops). The record is from Rfam. NCBI's taxonomy places the organism in Eukaryota, Fungi, Ascomycota, Sordariomycetes, Hypocreales, Nectriaceae.
GUCAAGAUGGCCGAGUGGUCUAAGGCGCUGCACUCAAGACACGGUCUUACCUAGUUAACUAGGGCGUUUUGCAGUAUCGAAAGAUUCUUGGGUUCGAAUCCCAAUCUUGACA